Lagopus muta (rock ptarmigan) is the source of this 2691-nucleotide long non-coding RNA. RefSeq lists it as uncharacterized. The transcript is spliced from 6 exons. The record is from RefSeq and is a predicted model, not a curated record. Lineage: Eukaryota; Metazoa; Chordata; Aves; Galliformes; Phasianidae.
CUUCUUCUGGUGCUUUCUGUAGGUGAGCCCAGCGUACAGUUUAUCUCUUCCCAUCUCUAAAUUGGAGCUAAUGAGAAGGAAGAAGCCCGUGCAGAAGUCGCAAUAACAGAGCGUACUUCAUGUUGUGACAGAUCCAAAGAGAGUUGAGAGAAGAGAUCCAAAGAGAGCCACUGUGCUCAUGCAGUUUGAGCAAUGUUGGGUUUGUCCACUUUCUGCUCCAAACUAGAACAUCAGGGAUCUAUUCCCCACAAGGCUUGCUGGUCCUUUUAUUCUAAGGAGAUCUACUCUGUAUAGGAACAGAUCCAGGCUCCUGCUGUGAAAAGAAGCACUUGGCAUUUUCCUCCAGGAAUGACAUCCUACUGUGGAUGGUCUGCAAGUCUUCCCUAUGCUGCUGCUUUUCCUCUGAGAAUCAUAUUGCAGCUGCUGGCAAGGAGAAUAACAAGCUGUUUUUCUUGUGCAAUUCAACCAGUCCUUUUGAUGCUUUCAUGGGCCAGAUCUACAAAUGCAAUGAAUGGACUCUGCCAAGAGAAGGGUGCCUCCCCCUGAUUUCACGUGCAUUCCUCAAGGUGAGCUGAAUAGAAAGCAGCUGAUCAGAUUGGAGGACUUCGUGCAGCUGAUAUUCAUUUGGAGCUGGACAAGGAGGUUUCAUUCUUGCAGAACACUGAGAGUACUCCAGAUAACUGAAUCAGUGAAGCUUUUUGGAAAGGACAGUGAAGUACCUCAUGGAAAGUCUCAGGGACACAGAAGGUUUGAGUACAGGGAAGACGAACCAAGGGCUCUCGUAAGGCAGGGUAUCCCCAAGUAAUAAGUAUUGCAGUUGAGGAACAAGGACCUUGCACAGAAUAAUAGAGAGACCAAAUCCCAUGAAUUCCAUGUCUGCACCAAGUAUUCAAGUAUAGUGAAUGCUGGGGAGAAGGGAAUUUGUCCAGGGCUGUAACAAAUGGUGACAGCAUUUGGAAGACUUCCAAGAGAAAUGCAAGUACAGGAUAAUAUAUACUUAUUUAAGAUGUACUCCCAGUUCAGGUUUUGGGCAAACCUCUUUUUGCUGCAGGUGCAUGGUCGGUGAUCAGAAAGUUAAUGCAGCAAAGCACCUCUUAUUAUCUUUGGCUCUCUUAUUCUAACUGGCUGUCAUUCAGAGAAUAGGAAGCUUAACACUGCAUGGAGAAUUGUCCUCUCCACCUGUCAGUGAUUCAUUUCACACAUUCAGUCACUAGGGACUCUGUAAGAGAUUCUGGUUGUUUUUCUAUCCUGUCUCAAACUAGGACUUACCGUCUGUAUUUUGUACUCGCUUCCAAAUUAAUGCUCAUAGUCUGUGGGAGAUAAAAUCUUUAUUACUUUUCUACUGUUUUAAUAAUGCUUUGGAACCGAAGAUAUUUACAUUUGUUGUGUUUGAACCAAAUAAUUUAUAGAUUUAAUUUUUUAAUACAUGUUAUUAAUCAUAUUAACACAAAUAAUCUUCAAGCAAGGUACGUACUUUUUCUAUAAUGCCUAAUGGAGGAAAAAAAAACAUAGUUUUUUUAUACCCUCUCCCCAGUGGUGGUAUACGCACAGAUUUCUUGUUUUUUUGACUGGCUAACCAAAGGUAGGACUAAGGAUUAAACCAAUGAUGUUACUUCUUUUGCCCACAUGAUGGACAACACUUUAUAACAACACUUUCUCUGAGAAAUCUUAGAGUGAGAAGAACAUCUUUGUUGACCUUGGUACAACUGAGAUCCUCAGGAAAUCUCAGUUCUGAGAAAACAGGAGGUCUCCAAGCUGCAGGUAAACUUUUUUUUUUUAAUGUUGUUUCCAACCCCUCCUAUUCAAGUUUCCUGUGUUGAUCAGAGGCUUUACUUAAUUUUUUUUUAACGGGAUUUGUAAAAGAGCAAGAUAUUUGGGAAUAAAGGUAAGAAGAGAAAGGUGGCUGAGAUCCAAAAUGAAAAGAACAAUGUUAUUGGUGAGAAAGUAGCUGGAAAAGAAGAAAAAGUAAUUCACUGUCUAAUUGAGAGAAUUAGACAGUAUCUAAGUGAGAGAAGGAGGGAAUAGGAAUUUGAAUGGGGAAACAUCUAAAAGAUUUGAGGAAGGAGAAAUGGAGGUGAUAAGGUGUUAUGGACCCAGUAUACUGGAAGUGGAUUUAUUGGUGCACUAGCAGGGACUCGAAUGAAUAAAGCAUUGAAGAGAAAUGAGAAGGGGAAUAGGGCAGAAAAGGACAGAGAAUAGUCUUUAAAUAAGAGAAAGUCUGUCUUUGAAGUAAUAGGGAAGAAAAGCAAGGAAACAAAUAUUGAGGAAAGGCUGCUGGAAAAUGUAGAAAUUCAGAGACUGGCAUUUUACCCAGAGCCUGAGUUUGAUAAGAAUGGAGAUGAUACAUGAUGCCACAUAAAAGCCAAAACCCCAUAAAUGUUUAAGGAUCAGCACCCUAAAAGAAAGAGCUUAGGUCAGUGUGCCACAGGCACUGCUCUAGAGAAGAGAGUUAACUAAUAACUUAAAUAUCUGUCCAUAAUAUGUGUAAAAAAACACUGUUCUAUCAUGGGGAAUUUCCAUCUGAGUAUCUUGUACCGCUAGUCUCAUGCUGCCAGUAAUAAAAUGUCCUUGGAAUUUUUAAAUGUUACAGAUGACAGUUUCUUAAAUCAAAAUGUGCUGUAUCCAGCUCUGGGGACUUCUGUAUUAGACUAUAUCUUGACAGACAAAGAGAGAUUCAUUAGUAGACCAAGU